GGGGAUCCUAUUCCAAACAAAGCUGUCUACUCAGUCUCUCAUAUUCAGACAGGAAAUGACCAGGUGGCUGAUUGCUAGCGUGAAAAAUACAUUAGAAGCACACGAUUCACAAAUGCAUGAUUGUUUAUAUAUAUAAUGAUUUAGAAGAAAUAAAUAAACCUUUAAUGCACGAAUCCCUCAAGUGUUCCUUGUGUCAUAUCUGACCUCCCUAUCAUCAGAUAUUCUUAUCAACAGGUAGUUUUAUUAAGUGAUUAUCUGCAAAGAAAGAAUUCGAAUAUUGUUAUGAGGAGAGAUCAAUGUCUGUAUCAGUAACUCUCUGUCGCGUUCACAUGUAGAGGGUGCGUGCAGCCGUGGGGCGGCGCUCUUCAGAAGUCUCGCUGGUCUCCAGGACAACCGCGCGUGUGGAACGCGUCAGCUCGUGGAUUUCUGCCAUACGGUAGAAAGUCUGUCAUUUAAUUAAUUAUAUUUAUUAUUCUUUUAUUUAUAUACAUAUAUAUAUAUUUAAAAAAAAAAAAAAAAAAGAAAAUGUUUAUUUUUGUAUUUCUCGGCUAGCACAUAAACAAAGCACAACUUUAUUUUAGUCUAUUUUACAUGUUCCUGUCACCGAAAUGAACGAAUCCUACUACGAUGAAGGCAAAGCUCAUGAUUAUUAAUUAGUCCGUGCCACCGUUGCUUAGCAACCUAUACGCAGCGUCCAGUCACGACCGUCAUUAGUAUUCAUGAGCCAAGCCUUCGUCGUAGUAGUGUGUUGAGAGAAGACAACAAUGCACCCGCUGCUUCGGAGGACUGGAUGUGAGUGACUGACGGUCAGUUUACUCAACAGAGGUUCUGGGAUUUAACUCACUCUCAUCUCUCUGAAAUGAAGCUGGGGACAAAGAGAGACUACUCUUCUGGUGGCUUACUGUAAGUUGUAUUGAUCAGAGAUGUCCAGCACCACUGUGUCCCCCAAAGUCCCCUCCGCCAGCUCUUCAGCGGACCAGCGGACGAUCGUCGUGGGGGCAUUGGGUUGUCUGGUGUUUUUCUUCAUGAUCGUGGUGCUGCUGUUGAUCCUGUACUGGAAGCUUCCGCUCUGCUGCAAAAUGAGGGUUUAUCAGGAAUCUCGUUCUGACGUGGAAUCUCCUCCUCAGUACUACAACAGCAGACAGACUCUAGUUGCUUCGUCUGAUGCUGAGCAAACACAUGACACUGGUCUUGAUCAUGUGGAUGCGCAGUCGGGCUCGUUGUUCCUCAUUGGUGUGCCGAGCAGCUACUACCUUUCCUCACUGGAGCCUCCUCUUCCUCGUCUGCCCUCGUAUGAGAGCGUUCGCAAGAAAGACAGACAGCGGCAGAUCCACAUCAUGAUAGCCGACCGAUUUGGCCUUAACGGACCUGUUGUGACAGAGCCGCCUCCCACAUAUGAGGAGAGCAUCCGUCAGUCUGUCCAGUCCAUUGACGUCCCGUUUGACAUCCUGGCACCCGAGGAGGAGCCGCCACAUGCACCAGUCACAGUCUCUGAGGCCGGCACAGAUUUACCUGCAUAUGAAGAUCUACCUCAAAUCACAGACUCACAAGAUCCCAAUACCACUCUUAAUUAAAGCGUGCUCAUGCACGGGAAGAAUGCGAUCUAUCCUCAGAGGAAAAUGAACUGCUGUUGAGCUGCCGCUGCCUCGAUGAGCGGCCGGCGUGUGCGUGAAUCCACUGUGCUCGCAAAAGACACCAAAAUAGGGUAGGACUCGACCUAUGCAAUAACUUGCACUAGCAAGUAGGAGAAGGAUGCUGCACCACUACUGGAAGAAACGGAGAGAAGAACAAGAAUAUGCCAUUUGAAUUAUCUAUUUAAGUUCUAUCUGUUCAAAACGAACAUGAAUCUGCUACUUUAUAGAAUUAUACUGACUAUAGAUAUUUCAGUGACUUUUCCAAGCCUAAAAAUGUAGAAAUUACAUCACAGAAUCUGCAGAAAAACUAAUUUAAGGAGUGGGGAAUGUCGAUUUCAGUUUGAUUAUAAAAAGUGACAUGAGGUAUGAAAACAAAUGUGUUUUUUUUUUUUUUAGAAUAACAUCCACUUAUCAGUCGUUCACAGUAACACUAGUGGCAUUUAUUAACUUUAAAUAAAUCUAUUGUGAGUUCAUGAUUAAUUAUUUCA
Long non-coding RNA from Cyprinus carpio (common carp), 2122 nucleotides. NCBI's taxonomy places the organism in Eukaryota, Metazoa, Chordata, Actinopteri, Cypriniformes, Cyprinidae. The record is from Ensembl.